Molecule: ribosomal RNA, 279 nt
Filed under: uncultured bacterium
Lineage: Bacteria
Description: partial 16S ribosomal RNA
Rfam family: Bacterial small subunit ribosomal RNA
Source: RNAcentral
UGCCAGCAGCCGCGGUAAGACGUAGGAUGCAAGCGUUGUCCGGAUUUAUUGGGCGUAAAGAGCUCGUAGGUGGUAAGCCAUGUCAGAUGUUAAAUAAUGAAGCUCAACUUCAUCUCGGCAUUUGAAACUGGUUUACUAGAGUUAAGUAGGGGUUAGAGGAAUUCCUGGUGUAGCGGUGAAAUGCGUAGAUAUCAGGAGGAACACCGGUGGCGAAAGCGUCUAACUGGACUUAUACUGACACUGAGGAACGAAAGCUAGGGGAGCAAAUGGGAUUAGAUA